This 417-nucleotide non-coding RNA is filed under the name Nelumbo nucifera (sacred lotus). RNAcentral describes it as "Eukaryotic large subunit ribosomal RNA". It matches the Rfam family "Eukaryotic large subunit ribosomal RNA", at positions 2415 to 2745 of the family's 3401-position model. The record is from Rfam by way of RNAcentral. Lineage: Eukaryota; Viridiplantae; Streptophyta; Magnoliopsida; Proteales; Nelumbonaceae.
UGUUGAGCUUGACUCUAGUCCGAYUUUGUGAAAUGACUUSAGAGGUGUAGGAUAACUGGAAGCCCUYGAGCAGAAGUGAAAUACCACUACUUUUAAUGUUAUUUUACUUAUUCUGUUAGUCAGAGGCGGGGCGAUGCCCCUCCUUUUGGACCCAAGGCUCGCCUCGUUGGGCCGAUUUGGGUGGAAGACAUUGUCAGGUGGRGARUUUGACUGGRGUGGUACAUCUCUUAAAAGACAAUGCACAAGUGUCCUAAAAUGAACUCAACGAGAAUAGAAAUCUCAUAUARAACAAAAUAGUAAAAACUCGUCUGAUGUCUAUUGAUUAAGUUGGUUGAGAGAAUUUUAAUGCCAACUGUUUACUAGGCACCGGAAGAGAAUCAUGGAAAUCUUCGCUACUUAGUAAACUAAGUUUUAACA